GCUGCAACUUCUGUCAUUGAACACUCUUAGAUCCAUGCAGCUCACCAUGCUGGUGCCUUGGCCUCACCCGUUCACCCAGAGGGACUCUAGCCCUCGCAGAGUUAUGUUUUACCUACAAGGCUCUGCCUGUACCAGUUUGAUUGCUGGAUGAGGACUGAGAAUUCUCAACCCUGUCAUCACCCUGUUUGCCCCUCAGCUAGUCACAGCAUGCUGACAGCUCGGUUGGUUUGCAGUGUUGCUUGAGGCUUCAUUUCCUGGAAACAAGAAUUAUGAUGGCAGGAAAGUUUCCAGAUCACCCUACUUACACAUUCAAAUAGAGAUGAAAACCUAGCAGGAUUUUCUGGUAGCUCUCCAUUUCCUUUUUAUUUCUGUUAUCCUUUUACUAUGUCUUGCUGUAAAACUAGCAAAACUCUAAACCGUACUCACACCAGCUUCUCAGUGCCCUCUCUUUCCCUCUUACUGUCCUUUUUGAAGUCCUGUGCACCUGAUUUUCUCUACACAGGAACCAUCUGUGAUGUCUAGAAGUGCACCUGAAGUCAGAUGCUUGCUGUUCUUGUCAAGUGACAGCCCAACUAGGACACAGAUGUUUAGCCUCAUUUCCCAGAAUCCAGUGGGUUUUGGACGUUCUUCCAAAAGAUUUGUUCCAUUCCCUCCUCUUGCUCAAGCUCGCUUUUAACAAGCAACUCAACCUAGCAAGUCUUUUAUGCAAACAGCAAUUUCCUUUUGAAGCUCUCAGUGAAGGCUGUGUUUGUCACUUAGUGCUCUGGGAGGAAUUUGGGUAAACUGGACCAAAGACAAAAAUCUCUCUGUUCCCUCUUCCAGGAAGGUAUCGGAUUCCUGCAUUUCAUAUGCAUUUCUGUUCUUAGAAGGAGCUCAGUAGCAGUGGUAUUGUCAGGCUGUCCUUUCACAUUGAUUCCCAGCUCAACCACAUCCAAUUCACUCAUUAAAAUGACUCGUUGCCAUUGUUACUAAGUUCCAUCUAGAGGCUCAGGUGGGUCUCCAUGAGCCAAGCUGUUCUCCUCCCCCUACUAAAGGUUUAUCAUUAAUAGCAAAGGUUAUACAUGACAGACACAGCACUUGGGUCCAUCUGCUGUGACAAGUAAUGUUGUGCCAGCAGUUAGAGCUCACUGCCCUGUUUGGACUUGGCUCACUGUUGGAUCACAGUGCUGCCUCUGCAGGGGUAUAGGAAUGCAAACCUAGAAAUGGGGUUUGCAUUUAAAAUGUCAGUUCUGUCUCGCAGAAGCUGCAGGCAGAGGCAGAUAUGAUAGGUCUUUGUCAACUGCUUCUCAGGAAGUUGUGUGUUAACUGAGAACCAUCAAACACACAUCUUUCCUUGCAUGGGCUCCAGGGAUAAGUGCUUUUCCACAGCCACAUCCUACUUCUUUCUUCCUCUUGCUUCAUUGAGGCAACUAGGAUGAAACCAUCUGUGGGCUGAGAUGAUGAGCACAUGCCGAAGCUGCGUGGAAGGAGCUGCGGUGCUGCCAUCUUUUCCUAUCCGCCAGCAUCACUGCAGGGGCGGGCUAUUUCUGAUCUGUAUUCCUCUAAGGGAACUAUGGAUUUAUUUCUAGCUUAGACCAAAUUUUUCUGUUCUGAGUGUCCCAGUCAGUGCUCCCCACCGUGCUAUGACCGCUCCACCAGCCUGUUUUCAGCAGGUACUGAUAGCUGUGAUGUGCCAGGAGCCUUUGGAGGGCUGCCCGUGCAUUUUGUGAGCCCCGUUGCCACGAUACUGAAUGCAGAGCAGAUGUUUAUUUCAACAGAGAUGGCUUUGACUCCUUUUCAACUUUUCUCUCGAGCUGCCAUUGUGUGUGAAUACUUCUUCCCGGGAGCCAAGCGCUGUCAAGGCCCAACAGGCAGGCGUUGUUGCUGCAGCCAGCAUGGAGGGGAAUGGGCUUGAGACGCAUGUGGCAAAGCGGCACAAAGCAAGCUGGUGGCCCUGGCCUCUCAGGAGGGAAGGUGGAGGCUCUGGAGAGACUGGCUGACAACAGUUGUCUUCAUCAAAUCAUUGCUGCCUUGCUGCAGACCUGGACUAGCGUGGCUGGGUGCUGAGCUGAUGAGACCACCUCUUCUUGAGAGCAAUAGAAGCCAGACACUGAAAAAAGAUUGAAGAUGUGGUUCAAAAAGGCAAGGAGAUCCCUUUCUUUAGGACAAUAUUUCCAGAAAAUUAGAGCUUAUGAAGAACUCCUAGGAAAGAAAUGAAACUGCUAUGGACUCAUCUAGUAUCAUGGGCACCAAGCCUACUGGUCCUGUUAGCAAUUACCUCUGCCUGCCAGUGCAGGACAGUUCUUCCUGUCUCAGCUGGGUACUGUUUGGCCAAAUGUUAACCUCCCAGGUUGAAACUUCAAAAUGAGAACAGGCCUGUCAUGGGAGAACAAAGCCCAUCUACCACCAGCUCAUCUCUGGCUGGAGCCAAUGGCAGGGGCUUAGGGAAGCACAUGAGAAUGGAAUGAGCAGGGCAAUGCUUGCACUUGCCUGCAGGGAUUUGCAGCUCACAUACUUCCUCAAGCAGAGGUGCUAGUUUAUAAACAGUAUUUCCCAAUGUUGUUUUUCUUUUUUCUUCCAUUAAAUUGUCCAGUCACUUUUGGCCUGUAGCAAGGCAUUGCCAGCUUAACUAUAUCCUGUGUGAAGAAGUGCCUACUUUUGUUUGUUUUGAACUUGGCACCUGCUUGUUUGAUUUAAUGAUCCUUAGCCCUUGCAUUGAAGAUGGUGAACCAGGAUCGCUCACCUACCUUUCCCAUCCUAGGCAUUUACCUCAGCCUGGUUGCUUCCCUUAGAAGUACAGGGAGUGUCAAUUAUAAAAUAGUUCAGCCAUUUCUAAGAAGAUUGCAGGAAGAGGUAUCAUUUUGCUCUGCUAAGAAAUACCAUUUUGCCCCCUUGCUUUUGAGGGAGGACAUGGAACAUGGUAAAGCCAUCAUCCUUUUGUUAAGGAUGUGCCACUGUUGUCUCCUGGUGAAAAUGCACAAGUUUGCCAUAUUAUGUGAAAAAGCUCCAUUUAUGAACACUUAGUUGACACUGGCAGACUUUGUCAACUCAAUCGUCUACAUAAUCCAGUUGUGCUGAGGGAGGUCCUUGCACCCACUGUCCUGCAGAAUGACUGUGCUGGCUCCUCUGGAGGAUCACAGAGCUGGAGGUGGCUUUUGCCAAGCAAUCCUGGUGGCAUGGGAUUGCUGUCACCAUGCUGUGAACAAGGGGAACCUCUGCUUUAUGUCCUGGCACUCACCUGCAUACACCCAGGCUGCAGGAGGCUGAAAACAGCCACGUCUAGAGUGCAAAAGAACAGGGAAGGUCAGCUGGAUGCAGCAGGAGCUGGGGAGUGAUUGGUGGCAAAGAGGAUGGAUAUGGCAUGGAAAGGAAAAGUGGUCAGCAGAAGUGAUCUUGUCCAUCUGCAAGGCUUUAUAAUUUUAAAUUAUUAACCAGAUACAGAAGUAUCAAAGCUGUAAUAAGGGAUAGAGGAGAGCUACAUUGAGCUCCCAUGUUAGUGAGUAUCAGUAGUUUCUAGUGGCAGUGCUGGAAAUUCUGCAACUGCUGAAUAAGUUGCGUCUAAGACAAAGUGAUUGUCUAAUGCCUGUGAAUUGGAGAUGGAUUUAUGUCAAAGAACAGGGAAAUUAUAUCCUGGCAAAACCAUUUUCAUUCUUCCUUUUACAUCUCUGGUGUUCUCAUUAUUAGAAUAAAUAUGCAGCCCUUUUUUCCCCCUCAUCUCAGUCAUUUUCUAACCUUCACAACAUCUUUGGCACAGUAUUUCGAAUGUAAAAACAUGAAAGGCAUUGAUUUUUACCAGUUUGGGAUGCUGUAUUUCAGUUUUAUAUGAUACCACAUUAGCUGCGUUACUUGUAUUGUGAAAAAGGCUCCAGGAGAAAUAUGGAAUGCAUAUAUGCAUAUCCCAUAUAUGCAUAUCCCAUAUGCAUCAUAUGGGAUAGUCACCACAAGCAUUGCACCAGCCAGCUGAACUUUGCAAAGGCACUAGAGGGUUUUAAAUACUCCGAUCCACCCUGAUACGUGGAAGCUGGGUAUCACAUUUCCUAGGCAGAUGCAAGAGUCUGAUGUGGUCUUUGCUAAUGAUGAGUUUACAUCAGCUUUGCUGGAACUAGAUCAGACAUCCACUCCCUCCCUCACCCCAGUAAAUCUCCCUGAGGAGUGCUUGGAGUGCCACAAGAUGCAGUAUUUUUUUCUAUUAGCAGUGCAAGUAAUUACAUUCUAUUGAUUUAUGUUUCAUAGUUUGAGAGAAAUUUCAGCUACUUUUUGUUGUACGUGUAAACCAGCUAACCUGUUGCAGGCACUCUGUAAGACCCCAGGGUUUUUACUAGCUCCCUGCAGUCUUGUGAUGUAAACAUAGUUAUAUUUUCACACCAGCAACAGAAAAAUAGUACUUAAAUGUAUAAAACAGUAGAAGGUCUGACUUGGGUCACAUUGCUACUGCAAGGUCCUGCAAACUGUCCUAAGUGAAUUACAGACACAUUUUAAAUCUUGGAAAACAGCAACAAUUGGUAUUUACAAGGCGGCGUGGAAGGAGUAGGGAAGAUCUUUCAUACAACAAUAUCAGCAACUGACCAUCUGACUUAAUGCACAAAUUAGAACUCGCUAAUUACAGACUGGCAUACAAUAUUACAACCCUUUUCUUAGAUGUUAUGUUGCCAGCCUACCUCAAUUCACAGCCUGGCUUGAUGAUUCAGUCAUUACAUGACUAGCUGAUUAUUUAAGAUUCCCUGACAGAUUUUCUUCCCUGGCUGCACUCGCUGUAUCAUCCCGAGGUUUUCUGAGUGAGUAUGGUAUAAACAAGAGCUGCCUUUUUGCAGAACGCUUUGUUUUGUGUUGUCACUGCAGUUCUCCUGGCCAAUCUGCCAUGGGUGGGAGAUAACUACAGGUAUAAUUACUGUGGAGAAUACCUUGUUGCAUGCAAUCAUCUUGCGUUAACUAUUAAAUAAAUCUGUUACAGUCCCUUUCUUGUUAUGUUAAGCUGCAUGCAAGC
Long non-coding RNA from Cuculus canorus (common cuckoo), 4963 nucleotides. RefSeq lists it as uncharacterized. The transcript is spliced from 3 exons. The record is from RefSeq and is a predicted model, not a curated record. Lineage: Eukaryota; Metazoa; Chordata; Aves; Cuculiformes; Cuculidae.